GACGAACGCUGGCGGCGUGCUUAACACAUGCAAGUCGAACGGAAAGGCCCAGCUUGCUGGGUGCUCGAGUGGCGAACGGGUGAGUAACACGUGGGUGAUCUGCCCCUAACUUCGGGAUAAGCUUGGGAAACUGGGUCUAAUACCGGAUAGGACAAUCGUCUAGUGUCGGUUGUGGAAAGUUUUUUCGGUUAGGGAUGAGCCCGCGGCCUAUCGGAUUGUUGGUGGGGUAAUGGCCUACCAAGGCGUCGACGGGUAGCCGGCCUGAGAGGGUGGACGGCCACAUUGGGACUGAGAUACGGCCCAGACUCCUACGGGAGGCAGCAGUGGGGAAUAUUGCACAAUGGGCGCAAGCCUGAUGCAGCGACGCCGCGUGGGGGAUGACGGCCUUCGGGUUGUAAACCUCUUUCGACAGGGACGAAGCCUUGGUGACGGUACCUGUAUAAGAGGCACCGGCUAACUACGUG
Molecule: ribosomal RNA, 464 nt
Filed under: uncultured bacterium
Lineage: Bacteria
Description: partial 16S ribosomal RNA
Rfam family: Bacterial small subunit ribosomal RNA
Source: RNAcentral